GAUGAACGCUGGCGGCGUGCCUAAUACAUGCAAGUCGAGCGAACGGACGAGAAGCUUGCUUCUCUGAUGUUAGCGGCGGACGGGUGAGUAACACGUGGAUAACCUACCUAUAAGACUGGGAUAACUUCGGGAAACCGGAGCUAAUACCGGAUAAUAUUUUGAACCGCAUGGUUCAAAAGUGAAAGACGGUCUUGCUGUCACUUAUAGAUGGAUCCGCGCUGCAUUAGCUAGUUGGUAAGGUAACGGCUUACCAAGGCAACGAUGCAUAGCCGACCUGAGAGGGUGAUCGGCCACACUAGAACUGGGACACGGUCCAGACUCCUACGGGAGGCAGCAGUAGGGAAUCUUCCGCAAUGGGCGAAAGCCUGACGGAGCAACGCCGCGUGAGUGAUGAAGGUCUUCGGAUCGUAAAACUCUGUUAUUAGGGAAGAACAUAUGUGUAAGUAACUGUGCACAUCUUGACGGUACCUAAUCAGAAAGCCACGGCUAACUACGUG
This 497-nucleotide ribosomal RNA is filed under the name uncultured bacterium. Its description in RNAcentral is "partial 16S ribosomal RNA". It matches the Rfam family "Bacterial small subunit ribosomal RNA", at positions 28 to 507 of the family's 1533-position model. The record is from RNAcentral.